UCUCCCGGUGGAUCCCGCCGGACCCCGAAUGCUAUCAGAGGGGGAAUAAGCCAUGGGAGUCCACAUAGCAAUAUGUGGCAUACGGCUCAGUAACACGUAGUCAACAUGCCCAGGGGACGUGGAUAACCUCGGGAAACUGAGGAUAAACCGCGAUAAGUCACUACUUCUGGAAUGGGUAAUGACUCAAAUCUACAUGGCCCCUGGAUUGGACUGCGGCCGAUCAGGCUGUUGGUGAGGUAAUGGCCCACCAAACCUGUAACCGGUACGGGCUCUGAGAGGAGGAGCCCGGAGAUGGGCACUGAGACAAGGGCCCAGGCCCUAUGGGGCGCAGCAGGCGCGAAACCUCUGCAAUAGGCGAAAGCCUGACAGGGUUACUCUGAGUGAUUUCCGUUAAGGAGAUCUUUUGGCACCUCUAAAAAUGGUGCAGAAUAAGGGGUGGGCAAGUCUGGUGUCAGCCGCCGCGGUAAUACCAGCACCCCGAGUGGUCAGGACGUUUAUUGGGCCUAAAGCAUCCGUAGCCGGUUCUACAAGUCUUCCGUUAAAUCCACCUGCUUAACAGAUGGGCUGCGGAAGAUACUAUAGAGCUAGGAGGCGGGAGAGGCAAGCGGUACUCGAUGGGUAGGGGUAAAAUCCGUUGAUCCAUUGAAGACCACCAGUGGCGAAGGCGGCUUGCCAGAACACGCUCGACGGUGAGGGAUGAAAGCUGGGGGAGCAAACCGGAUUAGAUACCCGGGUAGUCCCAGCUGUAAACGAUGCAGACUCGGUGAUGAGUUGGCUUCUUGCCAACUCAGUGCCGCAGGGAAGCCGCUUAUUUUGCCCCCUGGGGAAUACGGUCGCAAGACUGAAACUUUAAAGGAAUUGGGCGGGGGAAC
RNAcentral lists this ribosomal RNA (872 nucleotides) under uncultured archaeon. RNAcentral describes it as "bacterial SSU rRNA". It matches the Rfam family "Archaeal small subunit ribosomal RNA", at positions 1 to 877 of the family's 1478-position model. The record is from RNAcentral.